Astyanax mexicanus (Mexican tetra) is the source of this 1201-nucleotide long non-coding RNA. RefSeq lists it as uncharacterized. The transcript has 3 exons. NCBI's taxonomy places the organism in Eukaryota, Metazoa, Chordata, Actinopteri, Characiformes, Acestrorhamphidae. The record is from RefSeq and is a predicted model, not a curated record.
CUCCCCCUGCAGGACAGCGGGCUGUGUAGCACUCUGAUGUUUGAGACAGGCAUGCUGUCAUAACACUCAAACACGCCACAUUUUAUGCAGUAUGCAUUAAAAGCUUGUACCAUUUACAUUUUUACAUUAUAUUACAUUUAGCGGAUGGUUUUGUCCAAAGCAACUUACAAAUAAUUAUGUACAUUAGCAAAAGAGGACAUAGAAAUUCCAGACAAAUUUUUUUUGAAAGAACCUAAAUGAGGCUAAACGAGGAGGGGGAGCAGGAAAUGAAGUUAGAAGUUGUUAGUUUGUUAGAGGUGUUAGGAGAGUAAGUGCUCUUUGAAGAGCUCUGUCUUCAGGAGUUUAUUAAAGAUAGCGAGGGACGCUCCUGAUCUGGUAGUAGAAGGUAGUUAGUUAGAGGUGUUAGGAGAGUAAGUGCUCUUUGAAGAGCUCUGUCUUCAGGAGUUUAUUAAAGAUAGCGAGGGACGCUCCUGAUCUGGUAGUAGAAGGUAGUUUGUGUGCUAUAACCCUUUAGAAACCCAGUUAUUAUCUAAUAUUUAACAUACCUACAAAUGUUUAAUUACAUAAUGCAGGGUGUCCAAUCCUGCGUUGGAGCCACAGGUUUUUAUUACAGGCAAAUGUCAUGAACCGUUUAAAGACUGGCCUGUUGAUCACACUAUAAGAAUCAGGUGUGCUGCUGGUUGUUUGGAAUUAAAAUCUGCAGCCACACAGAUUCAUAAAGUUCAUAUUUAUGAAGUUUUAUAAGUUCAGAAAUCAAUAUUUGGUGGAAUAACCCUGGUUUUAAAAUCAAAGAAGCUCAUAAUUUUUAAUUGGUCUCCUUUUUUCCAGAGCUAUAUACAACAUAUACAUUUUGUAUAUAAUAAAAACAAAUACAUACACUUAACUUGUAUGUAUACAUACACUAUAACAUACAAUAUUGCACUGUUCAGUGUACCAAGGUAUAAUAUGUAAACAAGAAUAUUUAGAUGUUACAUUGCACACGACUGAAUCUAGAUGUAUGCAAUGUGGUGAGGGAGAUAAACCAGUAGAUGCAGUGUAAUUGUGAUUAAACUAACUCAUGGGUAACUGUCUCAUUCUGUAAGGUUUUUACAUUUAUUUUAAUGACCAAAGACAUAGAAAAUGCUUCUAGCUUCUCGACCUGGAUUCCAUGUGAACGUCUGCACGUGUUUUCGCUCUGCCUCAGUCCCCGUGUCCUCUCUGU